AUGGCAGAAAGGAAGCGAGGUCUGUCCGGGGAGAACGGGGAGCAGGACAGGCCGGCGUCCGCCUCCAAGCGGGUCCGGCCCGAGGGGCAGGGUCACGUGGCCGCCCUGGUCCUGGCGCGAGGAGGGAGCAAAGGCAUCCCCCUGAAGAACAUUAAGAUGUUAGCAGGAGUGCCGCUGAUUGGGUGGGUGCUGAGGGCGGCCAGGGACUCCGACAGGUUCGACAGUGUCUGGGUAUCGACAGACCAUGAUGAAAUCGAGAAGGUGGCGAAAGCCUGGGGUGCCAAGGUUCACCGGAGAAGCCCUGAGGUGUCCCGAGACUCUUCCAGCUCACUUGAAACCAUCCAGGAGUUUAUCAGGCUCAACCCAGAGGUGGACAUUGUGUGCCACAUGCAGGCGACGUCCCCGUGUCUCCACCCGUUCCACAUCCAGGAGGCCUUGGACAUGAUCACCAAGCAGGGCUACGAUUCGGUCUUCUCUGUCGUCAGGAGGCAUCAGUUCCGCUGGACGGAAAUUAAAAAAGGAUCUGAUGAGAGGACCGUACCUCUGAAUCUAGUUCCAACCAAAAGGCCGAGGCGUCAGGACUGGGACGGAGAGCUGUGUGAGAACGGCUCCUUUUACUUCUCAAAAAAACAACUAAUAAUGAGCGAAGGAAGUUUGCAGGGCGGUUCGGUCACUUACUAUGAGAUGCUGCCAGAGUACAGUGUUGACAUCGACGUGGACAUCGACUGGCCUGUGGCCGAGCAGAGGGUUCUCAGGUUUGGGUACUUUGGUCGCCACAAACCUGAGGUUGUACAUCUGAUGUUCUGCAAUGUUUCCGGCUGUCUGACUGAAGGAAGGAUCUUCCUGUCUUUGUCUGGAGAGGAGAUGGUGUCCAUUAACACCAGAGACACCGCAGGCCUCCGCAUGCUGAAGGAGGAGGGAGUAGAGGUCAUUCUGCUGGUGUCCCGUCUGGACCCCGUGGCCCAGUCCAUGGCUGAUAAACUGGCCCAGAGGACGGGCUGCCAGGUGCUCCAGGUGGGGGCGGAGCCACAGGAGGAUCUGAACGCACUGGUGGAGCAGAAGAAACUGAGCUGGAAAGACGUGGCCUAUAUGGGGAACGAUCAGCCUGAUGUGAAGUGUCUGAACCUGGCCGGUCUGAGCGCCGUACCCGGAGACGCUCCCGUCGUAGCUAGUAACGCAGCCAAGUACACCUGCCACAGCAAAGGAGGAAGUGGAGCCGUCAGGGAGUUCUGCGAGUACAUCCUGCUCCAGAAGAAAAAGGCCAAGUCCCAGGUGCAGCAGGACCGCAUCGACCGCCACCACUUCUGAUGUCCAAGCCUUUGAUAUGUCUGUCUGAACACAGGUCUGUUUACAGAAGACAUGAUCCAUACAGAUGCAUAUGAAGGUGCAGAAAUAUGAGUGGAAAUGAUUUCAGUUUUACUGUUUGAAAUCACUGAAUCAAUCAUCUUUAAGCUUGAAAGAAUGUUAUAAUGCAUAUAUAUCUGAAAAAAGAAUGACAGGACAAUGUGAAUCCUUUCAAUGUUAGCGCUCCACCACAUGAAGUCAAACCUGUUCUUUUUGUGCAGUAUGUGAAGGUAAAUCUGUGCUUUAUUUGAUUUCCGUUUUUAGGGGUGAAAGCUUUUAUCCUUAAUUAUUUCAUUUAAAUGACAUCCAGCUGUGCCUCUCAACACCAGUGUCCCUCAGUUGCAUCAAGUUUACCAGUAAAGACCGAAUAUUAACACGGAAUAGAGCCGCCCAUAGUACAGUUUGAGUGUUUCCCACUUGUAUUUCUCAAAUAUGACAUCUCCUCAUGAGUACAACUUGGUGAAUUAACAUAUUAGAGUCUAAAAUGCACUGGUACACAAACAAACAAUUUUUUUUUUUUUUAAUUAGACAUGCAUUUUAGAGGACUCAUCUAUUUCAUGCUAAUAUACUGCUGAUUACUGCUGUGUAUCGGCCAGAAUCUGACAAUACGAUACAAAUCACAAUACUAGGAUCAUGAUACGAUAUAUCACGAUGUAUCAUGAUAGUGUUAAAAAGGAAAUUUUU
This is an RNA transcript of Sphaeramia orbicularis (orbiculate cardinalfish), 2028 nucleotides long. It is a transcript of the gene named cytidine monophosphate N-acetylneuraminic acid synthetase a, with no coding region annotated. The transcript has 9 exons. NCBI's taxonomy places the organism in Eukaryota, Metazoa, Chordata, Actinopteri, Kurtiformes, Apogonidae. The record is from RefSeq and is a predicted model, not a curated record.